AAAACUAAAACGUUACUAAAAGAUAACGACAACACGGCUAUUAUCUGUUGUUCAUGGGAAGCCGGAAAGACAUAGGAUAUAAGAUAACGAUAAACUAUUGCAAUUAAAAAUACGAUUAUGAGCAUUGUUUGGUGAACCGGUAAAGUAUUGGUCCUGUUUUUUUCCUUGUAACACAAAAAUAAACAACAAUAACACCGAAAAAUCGU
Molecule: non-coding RNA, 206 nt
Organism: Cinara cedri
Lineage: Eukaryota; Metazoa; Arthropoda; Insecta; Hemiptera; Aphididae
Source: the annotation of a GenBank genome assembly